GUGAAAUUGUUGAAAGGGAAGCGCUUGCAACCAGACCUGCCUGCAGUUGCUCAUCCGGGCUUUUGCCCGGUGCACUCUUCUGCUGUCAGGCCAGCAUCAGUUCGGGCGGUCGGAUAAAGGCUUCGGGAAUGUAGCUCCUCUCGAGGAGUGUUAUAGCCCGUUGCGAAAUGCGGCCAGCCUGAACUGAGGUCCGCGCUUCGGCUAGGAUGCUGGCGUAAUGGUUGUAAGCGGCCCGUCUUGAAACACGGACCAAGGAGUCUAACAUCUGUGCGAGUGUUUGGGUGUCAAACCCGUACGCGUAAUGAAAGUGAACGGAGGCGGGAACCCCUCGGGGUGCACCGUCGACCGAUCCUGAUGUCUUCGGAUGGAUUUGAGUAAGAGCAUAGCUGUUGGGACCCGAAAGAUGGUGAACUAUGCCUGAAUAGGGUGAAGCCAGAGGAAACUCUGGUGGAGGCUCGCAGCGGUUCUGACGUGCAAAUCGAUCGUCAAAUUUGGGCAUAGGGGCGAAAGACUAAUCGAACUAUCUAGUAGCUGGUUCCUGCCGAAGUUUCCCUCACGAUAGCAGUAACGUUUUCAGUUUUAUGAGGUAAAGCG
RNAcentral lists this ribosomal RNA (594 nucleotides) under uncultured Ascomycota. RNAcentral's name for it is "LSU rRNA". It matches the Rfam family "Eukaryotic large subunit ribosomal RNA", at positions 399 to 1015 of the family's 3401-position model. The record is from RNAcentral. Lineage: Eukaryota; Fungi; Ascomycota.